This is a long non-coding RNA of Pseudopipra pipra, 372 nucleotides long. RefSeq lists it as uncharacterized. Lineage: Eukaryota; Metazoa; Chordata; Aves; Passeriformes; Pipridae. The record is from RefSeq and is a predicted model, not a curated record. The transcript is spliced from 2 exons.
UGUUUCUGUGACUCUCAGUGCUCCAGAGCCGAGGGUUUCACAGCAACCAAAGCCUUGCUGAGGGACUCCUUGUCCCAGGGCUGGCAGACAGGGAUCUGCUCUUGCUGAAGCCUGUUGGACACGACCAUCAGGGCCAGUUAAUGCCCAGGGAGCUCAAGGCAGGAGUGCUACAGGGACAGCAAGAGUGGCUCUGGACUGCAGUGGUGUGACAAGUGCCCUUAAUCUCUCCCGUCAGAGUCUCGAAGGUGGGGAUGAGCUCCAAAGAUAACCACAUACAUGACAGCCUGUCUGGAAGCACAAGCUGCUCCAGUCCAGCCCAUGACAGAGUACAAGUGAGAGGGCCAAUAAAUAAUUGACCAUGGUGGUGAUUAA